UUCCGGGCACUUCCGUAUACUCAUAAAGCUUAGUAAAAGAUGUUCUGGAGAAGACAAGUUAGUUAGAUGAAGGCUAGGCGUUCUAGGACUCUCUAGCUAGCUAGUAUAGCUAUGUAGCUGGAUUGCUUGGCACCUAGGAAGGAUCUUCGAAGAAAUAAAGAGACAAAGACUCCCGUCGCUCAAAUGGUGGUGGUAAGUGUCGGAGGCCUGAGAAACGCUAGUCUAUUGGCUAGAAUGUUGUUAUGGAGUGUUUAUGAGGACAAGUGGCACGGGAUACGUACAUCUAAAGAAACAAGAGUGGAUCUACGCCAAGCUAGCUAGCUAGAUAGCUGCUCUUUCUAAUCUAUUUCUGUUGCUAAAUUAUGUUUGUUAAGAAGUGGAGCUAUAAUAUACCUGGCUCCUCUUGAUGAUUGUAAGUACUGGGCUGAUGAAAUAGUCCUGUACAAGUUGUCAUCUUUUA
Long non-coding RNA from Halichondria panicea, 460 nucleotides. RefSeq lists it as uncharacterized. The transcript is spliced from 3 exons. The record is from RefSeq and is a predicted model, not a curated record. NCBI's taxonomy places the organism in Eukaryota, Metazoa, Porifera, Demospongiae, Suberitida, Halichondriidae.